AAGUGGAACAAUGCAACGGCUCAUUUCUGAUGGCGACAUCACGCCAGUCUUGGCAACUUUUUUGUUUCCUCUUCCAUUUCUAUAUUUUUUUCUGCACACUCCACUCGACUGCUUUCGAGAGAGAGUCACAACCAGGAUUUAUUUUUUAAUGUACUUUAAUAUUUUUUUGAUCCACUCUUUAUCUGAUUCGUUUUUGUACUUUCUGUGUGUUUUUGCGCGUAGAAAAACAGCUUGAGAUUCUGCAACGAUGCGUAUUCAGGUGGAUUUUUAAAAAAUAUAUCUUGUUUUAUUUGUGCGCGGUAUCUUUGCCUGUGCUCAAGUGGAAGUACGCUUGUACUUGCGUGCGUCUUCGUGAGUGUGAUCGUGUGGCAGUAAUUACCAAAGUGUGUGUCAGGGUGUGUGAGAGCGGUGCGUCGCAUUUAAACGGAUUGCGCACAUUCGUUAGGGUCCAUUUAUGCUUUAAAACAAAAUAGCCCAUUUUAUUUUUUCUGCAAUUUUAUUUUCAAUUGUUAUAUAUCUGCCUGUUAGUUUGGAAAUGCUAUGCUACGUAUUGUAAGAUUUAUUCUUAUUUUAUUUGUUAAAUUGUCUUGAUUAUUGCACAUGCAUGAUUCAGUUUUUCAUUAUCAUUCCGUUUAUUUUUAAAUAAUUUAUUGUUUGUCAGAUUGGCCACGCAACUAAUUUGGCAAAGAGAAAUAGUAUAUGCAUCUUAAUAUACUUUAUUAAAAAAUCUUGUGCAUUCAUCAGAUUUACUUGAUUUAGCGCGUACGAAUGGUGUAAAAAAAAAAUAAUUUCGGGGGGUGGACUGUAUUAUCUUUAAUAUAAUAUGAUCAUAUAUUAUGAUUCAAAGCAGUGUAUUUUCUCCGCGUGUGUGGAUUGCCUCUGCCGUCUAGUUCAAGUCCCCGUUAAGCCGAAAGGGAUCGCUGUAGGCGCUGCUAAAGAGUGUGUGCGCGCGACUGGUGAUCACGUGGUGAAAAAAAAAUCUACAGCGCAAAUAAAGGGGGGAAAGAGUGAUGACGCAGGAACAGGGAGGAAUGGAGGCAGCCUUUUCAAAAAGAAGGAAAAAGCGGAGAGAGGAGCAGGGUAGGGCUAAACAAAAGCGAGUGGAGCGCCUAAUGAUCAGAUGACAGCGCGGCACAGCAGCAUGAUGCUGACACCAAUACAAGACUCAUCGGAAUAGGACCUUUUAUUUAUUUAGUUUUAUUGCAUAAAUGCUAAUUGCAUUAAUCAUACAGUGGGGAGUCAUUGUGACAACUGCACACACACAGAUGUAUGGCGUUCAUCAGAUGGCGCCGCCCACCCUCAUGGGGCUGAAUGGCAGACUGCUGGAUGCACUAAGUGAUGAAAUGAUGACCCCAUUAUGAGAAGCGGCUCCAAAAUUAGGGGGUAUCGGCCAAAGAUUGCAGACCACCGCCAUCCUCCUCCUCUUGCUCGCCCUGCUGCACACACGAUGAUUGAUUCGCUUGAGAUGGAUCACAGGAAGCAGCUAUUGAUUUUUCUUCUCCCUGCCUAUAGUGUUUUAUGAAGAAAAUACUUAUUUACACUUGGGUGUUAUCCUGACUUACUCAAUAUCCACUUUUUAGGGGGAGGAUAAAGGAUCUAAUUGUCCUUGCUCGGUGACGUGACAAAUGACCUGUAAUAUUAUUUCGGUAGGGAGUCAAUAGGUGGGCUGACUAAAUGAAUAUUGAUUGGUUAUAAUGAAGCCCAAGUGUGAAUGGGAGCGCCUUCCCGGGCUGGGCCUUGCAGUCAGCAUUCAUAUGUGAUGAUGCCAGACGUACACAACAGAGACAAAAUACAGUCAAACAAGGGACGUUUUGCAAAAUAAUUAUUUUGUAAUUGUGAAAAUAAAAUAAUCAUAUUGUACCCAUCAUAAAAGCUUUGCUAACUGUAAAAUCAAUAUUUUACCAUGUAUAUGAUACGUGUAAAAAUAAAGCUACACUAAAACCAAACCAAAAUAUGGUACCACAUAGCAGCAGUACCCUAAAAAGAUUUUUUUUUGUUUUAUAAUAAAUUCAAAAGUAGGUUAAUGGUAUUGUUGCCAGCAAGUCAAUCAUCUGAAUGGUGAUUUUUCGCAUUCUUAACUGUCAUACAAAUGAAAAAACAAGUUAACCAUCGUUUAGCAAGACUAAAGUGCCAACUAAAAUUAUGUGAUUCAGUCAUGAUGGAAAUGUAGUUUCCACAAAAUUGUCAGUAAGACAUUUCUGAAGGUGAGCCAGCAUUCUGCACUGUAUAUUUAACUUUCUUAACUUGCAUACAAGUGUAAAAAAAAAGUUAAAGGCUGUGUUGUGAAACAUAAAAUGUGUUGAUUAUAUGUGUGUGAAUGUGUCCAUGGAUGUGAAUGUGAAUUGUUGUUCGAGAUGCUAACAACCACCGCACUGCACACAUUUGCACCAACUGGAAUCGGAAAAAAGGAGAGUAACUGUAUGUGAGGCAUAAUGAAAUUUGACGAGGUUGGUGAUAGAUCACAGCCCAGGUAAUGUAAACACAUUAAUCCCUCAGGGUUCACCCACUCUUCCUCUCUCUUUAGCCCUCCCCACCCCAGACCCCUGAUCUCUACUCCAUGCUCAUCAUCUUCCCUAAAUGUGUUAUUGGAGCACAAAACCAGAAGCAGCCUUAAUCUGUCAACAUGGCCUUUAAUUGGACCACCGGAAGAAAAAAAAAAAUGAAGAAAAUCGGUGCCACUCCUAAGUGCACACAUGCCAUACGAAGGAAGUUCAUCUGGCGAGAGCUCUCGAGGCAUAAUUAAAAGUAGCUUUUAAUAGGCUUGUAAUGCAGAGCUGACUUUAAGUAGAGGGCAGACAUGUGAGGGGGCUUGUAAACGAUAUGCCACCGCCAUCUGACAUCACGCCACCCCCCACCACCACUACGGUCACCAAAAACAAGGCUGGGAAAAACCUUCACACAUUCCAUUUUUGUCAUUUAAACAGGCCACUGACACCUUCAAGAGUAUUUCUAAUUUUGUUCUUUUGUCUGUUGUGUUCAAGGUAGAACUCUGACAUCACCCCGCCACCAUUUCUCCUAUCUUGGAUGUGGCGAGAUGCCGUCACUGGGACCCAAUUGAACGUUUUCAAAUUAGAUCUUCAAGUUGCAUUUUACAUUUAAUUUAGCUGUCACAAAUAAAAAUGCAUUUUUUAAAUUUAAUUUAAUUUAGAUACAGUAAAAUGUUAAAAAUCUCAAAACUAUAAUAGCGCUAUACCUACAAUAUAUGCAAAGGGAGUUUUAUGGAACAUGAGUUGCAGAAUAGUUUGUUUAAAUUCAGAAUUGAUUUUUAUUAUUUUAAACUGUGGUUUGCUGGGCUUGGAGGAGGUGUGGUGUCAUGUUCUCUUUUGCAUUCCACAGCAGCCGCAUUGUUGUUGUUUAUUUUGCUCAGGACACUCUUUGAUACGGUGUCGUCUUACCAUUUUGCUUGCUGCCAGCUGUGUUUCAUAAUGCCAUUAGAAAUUCAAAUAGGCACGCUUUUCAUUCUCCUGAGUCAGCAACUUUCAUUAACUCCUUGUGGUGCUAAAACUAUAAUCCCUCAAAACUUUGAACAAAACAAAACAAUUCACAAACAAUGCCUUUUCACUGGAGUGUUAUGCAUGACUGUUGGCAAAAUUGUCAACAUGGCGCCCCAUUUUAGUUUUAACAGUAAUUGAGGCACAAAAUAUGAUCCAUAACACUUUAAUAUUAGUUUAAAGACAUUUUAUUUUGGAAAAAAACGGCACUUAACGUGUGUGUGUAUGUGUGUCCAUGUGAUGAAGACUCUCCAUCAACAAACCAGGCUGAACUUGGCACAUCACCCACAUACAAAGAUGCAUCACUUACCACACAGUUGCUUGACACCAAUUACUUUCCUAUUAUCCAGGGCUUUGGCGCCAUCUUGUGGAUUCUUGGAUUAUUACAGAAAGGUUGGUAGGUUGGUAGGUAACAACCAAUCAUCACACCAAAACAUACCGCCGAAUGUUAUUCUAAAUUUUUAAUUUAUUAAUCUUUCACCGCUUGAUAUUUUACCAUCUUUGCCAUAAACGUUCAAUUCCGAGAGCUAAUUGCGGGUGUAAGUGAAUAUUUAAAAGUCAAACAUGUCGAAAUAAUGUCAGACGAAUUUGGACAAGGCGCAGAUGUUCCUCUCAUGCGUUGCCAAGUCUUCCUCGAAAGAGUGAAGAUUGGUUUUGUCCGACAUCCAAAGCAGAAAAUUCCUGACACCUGGUGCAUAUUUAGUUGGUGUUUUAAGAUAUUUCCCCUAACUUUUCAUGUCUCUUUCCACUCAGCUGUGCCACUCAAAGAUUUACAAUCCCAAAUACAUUGGAACCUCAAAAGUGGUAUUAUUUGGAGUACCGUGGGGUUAGCUGGGUAAAGUAAAUCAAAAGUCAAUCAAAAUUUGGAAUUCAUAACACGAUUAUCGUGUGAGACUUAGUCAGCUCACUGAGUAUGUGAAGCAGGGGUGUCAAUCUCAUUUCGGUCACCACAUUUAAGUUCCUUAGGUGGCUGUUGUGACAGUGAAACCAUAAAGAUGUGUAAUCACAUUAUUGCAAAUCCACAACAAAUUGAUUUGCUUGCACUAUUUCGACAGAUUAAAAGUGAAGACAAUUUAGCAACAAAUUUGAGCAAUAGACUUAUGCUUUAGUGGGCCACAAAAAAUGAUGUAAUGGGCCAGAUAUGACCCCCGGGCCACGGGUUUAACACCUGUAAGCUGAAUGAUGUUUAUUAUUAUUAAUUUGCAAUUCUGAAGGAGUUUAGUUGUCCUAAUCAUUAGCUUACCCCUCUCUUCAUACACUUUUUCAAAGAGGUAUGAAUGCUUAAAUGACAUGACAUUCAACCUUCGAAUCAAACGCUUCUUGUAAGUCUCAGGACCGAUUUUGAUGGCCUACGUAAUUAUUGGCAGCUGUUUCAAAGGCAGCAAGCUCAAGAAAAACAUGAAGAUUUGUUUUGUUGUUGCUGUAAUCAAGUGCAUGCAAUGUCGACGUGAAUUUGGAACAUCAAAUAAACAUCUGCUACACGGAUAAA
This is a long non-coding RNA of Syngnathus acus (greater pipefish), 4980 nucleotides long. RefSeq lists it as uncharacterized. The record is from RefSeq and is a predicted model, not a curated record. NCBI's taxonomy places the organism in Eukaryota, Metazoa, Chordata, Actinopteri, Syngnathiformes, Syngnathidae. The transcript has 2 exons.